CAAAUGAUGAUAAUUUUGGUCCGUGUUUAUGAAUUUAGUUGAUUAUAAUUUAACUUCCAAGUAACUGAAUCAU
Molecule: small nucleolar RNA, 73 nt
Organism: Culex pipiens (northern house mosquito)
Lineage: Eukaryota; Metazoa; Arthropoda; Insecta; Diptera; Culicidae
Rfam family: Small nucleolar RNA U18
Source: Rfam